Long non-coding RNA from Macaca fascicularis (crab-eating macaque), 1693 nucleotides. The record is from Ensembl. NCBI's taxonomy places the organism in Eukaryota, Metazoa, Chordata, Mammalia, Primates, Cercopithecidae.
AGUCCCAGGGACUUGGGAGGCUGAGGCAGGGGAAUCGCUUGAACCCAGGAGGUGGAGGUUUCAGUGAGCCGAGAUCGCGCCACUCACUCCAGCCUGGCGACAGAGCAAGACUACGUCUAAAAAAGAGAAAAGACUCUAGGUCUCUCCCCACAGAUAAAUGAAGCAGACACAGUGUAACUCACAAUGCACCUACCUGGUUUCCCUGUAAUGUCCAACCUAAAGAUAGAAUGCCUCAUUACAAUUUCUCAUCCAGACUCAUUUACGUAAUAGAUGCUCUAACCAACUUAUUGGUUAGAAAUAUACUAUUCUGCCCAUUCAUUGCCUACUUCUAAAGAUUGGAGACAGGGUCAAAUGAGAUUUUUUGAGAUCCUUUCUAGUCCUAUUUUUCAGAAUCUAAGAUGUUUUAUUGAAGCAGCCUGAUUGUGUCACGGGCACCUUGUUUACAUGUUGUUCACCUGAGAACUCUCAAGCACCUACACCUUGCUGCGCAUUGAUUGCACUUGGAGUGAGCGUACCAUAGUGGGAAUAAUGAACAUUGGAGUUCCUACCUUUAGGGCUGCCAGAAGAAAAAGGGCAUUAGAUCAUUCCGGGGAUUAGGGAAAGUUUCCUUGAAGAAGUGACUUUGGGGCUGAAAUCUUAAGGAGGAGUAGAAAUUACCUGAAUGAAGCCAAGAAAGGAAAACAGAAGUCAGCUUUCUCCAGGCAAAGGGCGCAUCAUGGACAAAGUUCCUGAGAUGGGUGAGGGCAAGUUUCUUUAAGGAAUUGAAAGAAGGCCAGUGUCUGGCAUCCUGGGAGUGAGGAGGGCCUGGUGCUGAAGGAGGCAGUAAGUGUGGGCCGGGGCCCAGCUGCAGGGUCUGGAUUAAUGUGAAACCCAAGAGCCUUUUCCCUAUGUCCUCUGCUCUUGUAGAGUCUUGUCAAUUAUAUCAUGAACAAAUAAGACUGUACGAUCUCACUUUGGAAACUCUCAAAGAUUUAACUACCCCAUAAUACUCACAAAUAACGUAGAAUUAUAGAAACCUAGGGUUUACAGUCUGAGCUGUUCAGAUAUCCAACUCCUGUUUUGCAAUUAACACCCCACUUUAAAGGCUUAACCAUCUACUAAUUUCAGAGCUGUAGCCAAAAUGUUCUCCUCAUGUGUACAACAGGUUAGCCUCUGAGUUAGGAACUUCACUGGCAUGCAAAGAUGAAUAAGCUCCUUUAUAAUUGGGCUAUAUUCAAUAAAAUUUUGGUCUUCUAUGAAUAAAACUUUGGUUCUAUCAUAGCUAAGAAUUUGUUUCUCAGUGUCUUCUUCUUAAACUACCCAUGCAAUUUUUAAAAACUAAAUACCAGCACUACCAGCACUAAGAUACUAGACUCCUAAAAAGUGGAAAAAAGACAAAAACAAACAAACAAAAACAGCAAAAUCAGCCAAACCUACCUUUUAUGAGAUUGAGUUAGCCUGCCAAUGUGGACAAAGGAUUGAACUUGUUGUAGAUACACAAUUAUAUAAGGUAUAGUUUCCUAUGUCUUUGGAAAGUUGACCCUAUGGAAGGUAACACAAGGAAGCAUCAUAAGUAGGGAUAUGCUGACUAUUAACUUGACUCAAACAUCACUAAAGAAAACAUCUUGGCUGGGCGUGGUGGCUCACGCCUGUAAUCCCAGCACUUUGGGAGGCUGAGGUGGGUGGAUGAUGAGGUCAGGAGUCGAGACCAUCC